UUCGCAAUGCCCGAAAGGGUGACGAAGCGACGCCGCGUGCGGGAAGAAGGCCUUCGGGUUGUAAACCGCUGUCGGGAGUUAAGAAGUGCAAGGGUGUUAAUAGCAUCUUUGCUUGACUAAGGCUCCGGAGGAAGCCACGGCUAACUCUGUGCCAGCAGCCGCGGUAAUACAGAGGCGGCAAGCGUUGUUCGGAAUUAUUGGGCGUAAAGAGCACGUAGGCGGCUAUGCAAGUCGGUUGUGAAAGCCUUCCGCUCAACGGAAGAACGGCAUCCGAUACUGCAUGGCUCGAGUGCGGGAGGGGAGAGUGGAACUUCUGGUGGAGCGGUGAAAUGCGUAGAUGUCAGAAGGAACGUCGGCGGCGAAAGCGACUCUCUGGCCUAUUACUGACACUGAGUGUGCGAAAGUUAGGGGAGCAAACGGGAUUAGAUACCCCGGUAGUCCUAACUGUAAACGAUGGGCACUAAGUAGAGGGGUUUU
RNAcentral lists this ribosomal RNA (477 nucleotides) under Candidatus Brocadia fulgida. RNAcentral describes it as "bacterial SSU rRNA". It matches the Rfam family "Bacterial small subunit ribosomal RNA", at positions 365 to 832 of the family's 1533-position model. Lineage: Bacteria; Pseudomonadati; Planctomycetota; Candidatus Brocadiia; Candidatus Brocadiales; Candidatus Brocadiaceae. The record is from RNAcentral.